CUGUCGAUCCCCUCUCCGUUCGCCUCCUCCUCUCCCGGGUCGCUGCGCCGCCGGCUCAGCUGGUUCUCCUGCGUCUUAUCCUCCCCGCUCCUCUCCUCGCAGCUGAGUCCUCGACCAGAUCGGCGUCCAUCUUCAGCGGCGGCGGCAUCUUCAGCGGAGGAGGCGGGUGGUCGUGGCGGCGGCAUCUUCAGCGGCGUCGCCGGACGAGCUCCACGCGCGGGGGAGAUAUCUCCACGGGCCCGCGUAACCACGUCCCCUCGCUGACGUCGGCCUCACAAAGAAGAGGUCUAGUCCGCCCGUGCCACCGAGGAGGGGGAGCAGCCGCGCCCGGAGUAGGUCGUCCCCAACGCCUGCAUCUAGUCGUCGACCUUAACUACACUGCAGUCGCCGCUGCUGGUCGAGGUCGCCCAGUUGACACCGGCCCCGCCGGAGUGCAGCUCAUCCUGCCCGAGGACAUGAUAUGGAAAGGGAGGGACGCCGGCGGGUGAUUCCCCCCAUUCUGCCAGGGCCAAGAUGGGGCAGAAGAUGUCAUUGGCGCAUCGAAGGCUCUCUUUGCUUGAUGAUGUCAGUAGCAUCAGUAGGCACAUCGCUGCUGCUGCUGCUGCAGCGGUGGCGGGUGAUGAUGAUGGUGGUGCUUUUGAGCUGAUGGCAAGAACCUUCAUGGAACCAUCUGAUCUCAUAUGUCUGCAUUCAGGCACGUCUAUUCUUCCAGGAUUCAGAGUAUCAAACGCAUGUUCUCAUACAUCAACAAGAAUAAAUAUAGGAAGCCGCUUUUAUCAGUUAGUUAGUUAGUUAGUUAGUUAGUUGGUUGGUUGGUUGGUUGGUUGGUCGGUCGAUGAAUCGAGCAUUGGGAAAGCUCAAGUACGGAGAUUGUUAUGAGGCAAAUUCAGUACUCCUUUUUUUUCUCAACCAUUUCAUUUGCCUUCUCUCUUUUCUUUCUGAAUCUUCGGUCACGCUUACCUUGUGGAACCGUCAGACAAACUGAAAAUGAACUGCUUAUGUUUUUUCUUAUAGGGCUCAUUAGUACUGCAGCAAGUAGUACAAGUACACAGUGACCGCAUAGCAUCCUCCAUGUUAUUAGACUAUAUUAUCUAUAUAUUUUUUUAUCUUUACUAAUUUUGAACUUCUCGUGACGCGAUAAUAAAAAUUUGGCAAUUGUAGGAUGAGGAGUUCGCUGCUGAUGUUCCUCAGAAAAAUACAGGAAUUUGUGACAGCAAUGACGACUUUGUUCCAUUGAUAUGGCUGUCAAGAACUCCAAUGGCAUUGACAUAGCCAAUCUGAUGAAGCACUCGGCAGAGAACCGCGGGAUCAAGGGCUUCGACGGAGGCGACGCCGUCGACCUGAUCUCGCUGCUCACGGAAGAGUGUGACGUGCUCAUCCCGGCAGCUCUGGGAGGAGUCAUAAACAAUGUGAGAAGGCAGGCCGUCCCAACGUGCCGGUGGCGGAGGGCAGCGCCGAGCCUCUCAAGGGACAAUGUUGAUGCCAUCAAAGCGAAGUACAUCAUCGAGGCUGCUAACCACCCAACAGACCCCGAGGCCGACGAGGCAAGAACACCAACAUUUUGCCACAAAACUAAGCUGCAUUUGUUGACGCAUUUCACACGUUGACUUAUAGUAGAGAAAUGUACAUGUUCAUGGUGCAGAGAAGGGUGUGCUGGUCCUAGCAGACAUCAUGGCCAACUCCGGCGGAGUGAUGGUGAGCUACUUCGAGUGGGUGCAGAACAUCGAGGUGUUCAUGUGGGACGAGGAGAAGGUGAAUCGGGAGCUCAAGACGUACAUGACCCGCGCCUCAAACAUAGUUCUGAUUAUUUAGGCAAUGAGAGGCUGGCAUUUGAUAAUACGGUUCUGUGUGUGCAUUGACUGCUGGUGCUGCAGCCUGAAUUUUUUCUUGUGGAGUGGAGCGAAGUAAUCCAUCAAGCUAGCUGCAUUAUUGAUUCUGUUAUUUUUGCUGGCGAGGUAAUAAUCUCCCACUCAACUCGUGAUGUGAGAGAUAGUAGUGUAACCAUGAUAUUUACAUCAUUGCUCAUGUGUUCUAUAUGCUAUGAUUUUUCUUCCUUAAUUACCCUGCCUCAGCCAUAAUCAUCAUGCAUUUGUAAGUAGUCACUUAUGGUAGUGUUUUAAAUGUAAGGAUACUCCGAUGCAGAUAGGUUUGGAUCAGAUGGUGCAAAUGAUAGAAGUGGAACAUGCAGCUCAUUAGCUGUUUUUUUAAGAACCAAUGAAAAGUCAAGCAUUUGGAUGGACAUAAGUGUACAAAUAAUAUGCAAAAACAUCAGAACAUAAGUGUAGUCUUUAAUUCAAAGAACAUGCUAUGAAGAUCAAUCAUUUGGAACUGCCCUUGAAGUGCCUCUCCGUGUAGCCCAUUCAUGGCUGUACGAAUGGGCUGGACACGGUGUUUGAUGGUUUGCGUUUGCAUCUUUUCAACUCCACUUGUUUAGCGAUAGUCUCAGUGUCAAAUUGUUGUUUCACUACUAGGAGGGGCAUUCUUCCUCGGGCGUCCACGUUUACACUUUGGGGCACCGGAUGUCUCUGGUUUGUUUGUAACAUCAGGGUUGAUGACAAUCGUGACGUUGUUGUCUGCACCUUUUCGUUCCUAUGUAAUGUUGGCUUCGUACUCGUCCUUCUGUAGAGGAAAUAGUGGUGCGUUACAUUCAAUCAUGAAAGGUAGGAACUACAUGACAUGAAAUGCUAGUUGUGUAGAACUUACCGUUAUAGGAUUCUUGUAUGAUUUUUUCCGAAGCUUGUGAUUACUGAUUAAUGAGUAUGCCACAUUCAAUGUUGGAGUGUUAAAUUUAGAAAAUAUGAAUUUUCUUGGAAAUCAAUGUUAAAUUUAGCACUUCAAGUACUCCUCGUCUGGACCCCGACUACCGGUAGUUAACGGUGAUUCGGACUUGGACUACCGUUAAUGCUGAGUCCGAACGAGUAAGGCCGGUAGUUGUGGGCCAUCCACUACAAGUAGUACUAUGACCAUGGCUCUUCACGUCUAGUACUACGGGUCCUCCGGAUACAUCACUAACACCACGAGUCGUCUGAUACUACCAGUACCACUGUUUGAUCCCUGGAUCCCUUUUAGCACAAAGGGUCAUCCGGAAAUGCUAACAUCAUGAGUCGUCCCCAACGAGUAAGGCCGAUUCUCAUGACAACACUUGGCUAUCACCAGUAUGUGUAUCCCGAACCAAAAACUAUGUUCACAUGGUGGCCAGCUGGGCGGUCCCACCAAUAGCACUUCAAGUACUCCUCGUCAUAAAAUGUUGCAUGCUUUAGAAGGGCUAAAGAAAUGUCAUUUGUACAUUGUCAAGAAUUGUGCAUUCUCAGAUGAUGCACAAUUCUCAUAUGAUAGUGACGAUGACAUGUAUGAACAGGACAUGUCUGAGGAAGACAUAUAUUCGUGUGGGUACAUGGAUAUGGGCGAGAGGAACAUGGGCGAAUAUGGGUCAUCGCCCAAAAGGAAGAAACUUGCAGAUAACAAUCCGAAGAAGGCAUUGCUUUUCGGCAGCAGUGACGAGCCUCUUUUGUAGGCUUUUGGUUUUUCUACAAUUUCAAGCUUUAGAGCUGAAUUAUUGUCCCAAGUAGUGUUCAUAUUAUUUCCGAACCAACAAUCACUUCAUUCAAGUGACAAUUGUGAGACUAUGUUUACAAUAAUAGGCUUUCAACUUUGAGUUGUUGCUCAAUUUUUAGAUGAAAGGUUCCUUUGA
Molecule: RNA transcript, 3691 nt
Organism: Aegilops tauschii subsp. strangulata
Lineage: Eukaryota; Viridiplantae; Streptophyta; Magnoliopsida; Poales; Poaceae
Gene name: glutamate dehydrogenase 1, mitochondrial-like
Source: RefSeq, a predicted model, not a curated record